RNAcentral lists this ribosomal RNA (452 nucleotides) under uncultured bacterium. Its description in RNAcentral is "bacterial SSU rRNA". It matches the Rfam family "Bacterial small subunit ribosomal RNA", at positions 29 to 524 of the family's 1533-position model. The record is from RNAcentral.
AACGAACGCUGGCGGCAGGCCUCAAACAUGCAAGUCUAGGGGGUGUAGCAAUACAUCACCGGCGGACGGGUGCGUAACGCGUGGGAAUAUACCUAUCGAUUCGGAACAACUGAGGGAAACUUCAGCUAAUACCGAAUACGUCCUAACGGAGAAAGAUUUAUCGUCGAUAGAUUAGCCCGCGUUCGAUUAGCUAGUUGGCGGGGUAACGGCCCACCAAGGCGACGAUCGAUAGCUGUUCUGAGAGGAAGAUCAGCCACACUGGGACUGAGACACGGCCCAGACUCCUACGGGAGGCAGCAGUUGGGAAUCUUGGACAAUGGGGGAAACCCUGAUCCAGCCAUGCCGCGUGAGUGAUGAAGGCCUUCGGGUUGUAAAACUCUUUCGCGCACGACGAUAAUGACGGUAGUGCGAGAAGAAGCUCCGGCUAACUUCGUGCCAGCAGCCGCGGUAAU